UUGCGACGCGCGCGCGCAGGUCUGGCAAGUGCAGCGUGCGCAAAACCGCGCUUUCGAUUUACACAGUGAGCAACGUAAACGUCAGCCUAGGAAUGGAAAGAACACUGGAAAGCGCCCGAAAAAUCCUCACCGGAUAGCUUUUGAAACUGUCUGCCACGGUAGCUGCAAAUGCAAGCUACUUGCCAAAAUAUGCGCACCGGCGUGAUCGACCUGUGCAGCAGGUUGUUCGAAGCGAUCCAUAGCGAUCUGCUUCUGGAUGAGCAGCAGGAACAGCCGGCCACUGAUUACCGUCGACAGCACUUUGCGAGGCUGUUGCGAGGACAAAUGAAAACUAACGCUUUCCAUUCAACUCUGUUCCCUACGUCUGAUAAGCACAAUGGCAAGCACAUGGUGCAAUUUCAUGAUCAUCCCUAUGAUGCAUUGGACACUGAGGACAAGGACAUCACCUAAGGAUGCACUUAAGACAGCAAGUACACAAUAUAAUGCCCUACAAUGCUGAAUGCCUGACUGGUACUAAGGCAGCAUACAAGCUUGUGAGUUCCCGAGGAUUUGCCUGACUACACUAGCCUCGGAAGCCCGUACUUCACCGACGAUAUUGCCUUCACGAAGAUCUAUAGUUGCAUUAAGGGUUGGCUGACGAUGCGAAUGACCUACAUCGGAUGGAAGCGAUGUCAUCGCGUUGGCAUGCGAUGAACGUGUGGUGGUGCCAAAUGAUCACAUUGAAGAUAGUGAUACCUACGUUUCUUAAGAAAACAAGUAAAGAUUCAAUAAUGGGAACAUGCAGCCCUAUUCCCCUUCCCUUCGUUCCUUAUUAUAUUGGUUGUUUGGUCUUAAGCGCCAUGCUUUCUAUAACGCACUUUCAAUAUUUCUAAGAUGGAGAGUCGCUGAUGAAAUGCUUUUAGGGCGUUAUUUCUUGCACUGGCAAACUGCAGCAAGAAAGAAGA
Dermacentor silvarum is the source of this 944-nucleotide long non-coding RNA. RefSeq lists it as uncharacterized. The transcript is spliced from 4 exons. NCBI's taxonomy places the organism in Eukaryota, Metazoa, Arthropoda, Arachnida, Ixodida, Ixodidae. The record is from RefSeq and is a predicted model, not a curated record.